GACGAACGCUGGCGGCGUGCCUAAUACAUGCAAGUAGAACGCUGAAGAGAGGAGCUUGCUCUUCUUGGAUGAGUUGCGAACGGGUGAGUAACGCGUAGGUAACCUGCCUUGUAGCGGGGGAUAACUAUUGGAAACGAUAGCUAAUACCGCAUAACAAUGGAUGACACAUGCCAUUUAUUUGAAAGGGGCAAUUGCUCCACUACAAGAUGGACCUGCGUUGUAUUAGCUAGUAGGUGAGGUAACGGCUCACCUAGGCGACGAUACAUAGCCGACCUGAGAGGGUGAUCGGCCACACUGGGACUGAGACACGGCCCAGACUCCUACGGGAGGCAGCAGUAGGGAAUCUUCGGCAAUGGGGGCAACCCUGACCGAGCAACGCCGCGUGAGUGAAGAAGGUUUUCGGAUCGUAAAGCUCUGUUGUAAGUCAAGAACGAGUGUGAGAGUGGAAAGUUCACACUGUGACGGUAGCUUACCAGAAAGGGACGGCUAACUACGUGCCAGCAGCCGCGGUAAUACGUAGGUCCCGAGCGUUGUCCGGAUUUAUUGGGCGUAAAGCGAGCGCAGGCGGUUUGAUAAGUCUGAAGUUAAAGGCUGUGGCUCAACCAUAGUUCGCUUUGGAAACUGUCAAACUUGAGUGCAGAAGGGGAGAGUGGAAUUCCAUGUGUAGCGGUGAAAUGCGUAGAUAUAUGGAGGAACACCGGUGGCGAAAGCGGCUCUCUGGUCUGUAACUGACGCUGAGGCUCGAAAGCGUGGGGAGCGAACAGGAUUAGAUACCCUGGUAGUCCACGCCGUAAACGAUGAGUGCUAGGUGUUGGAUCCUUUCCGGGAUUCAGUGCCGCAGCUAACGCAUUAAGCACUCCGCCUGGGGAGUACGACCGCAAGGUUGAAACUCAAAGGAAUUGACGGGGGCCCGCACAAGCGGUGGAGCAUGUGGUUUAAUUCGAAGCAACGCGAAGAACCUUACCAGGUCUUGACAUCCCGAUGCUAUUUCUAGAGAUAGAAAGUUACUUCGGUACAUCGGUGACAGGUGGUGCAUGGUUGUCGUCAGCUCGUGUCGUGAGAUGUUGGGUUAAGUCCCGCAACGAGCGCAACCCCUAUUGUUAGUUGCCAUCAUUCAGUUGGGCACUCUAGCGAGACUGCCGGUAAUAAACCGGAGGAAGGUGGGGAUGACGUCAAAUCAUCAUGCCCCUUAUGACCUGGGCUACACACGUGCUACAAUGGUUGGUACAACGAGUUGCGAGUCGGUGACGGCAAGCUAAUCUCUUAAAGCCAAUCUCAGUUCGGAUUGUAGGCUGCAACUCGCCUACAUGAAGUCGGAAUCGCUAGUAAUCGCGGAUCAGCACGCUGCGGUGAAUACGUUCCCGGGCCU
Molecule: ribosomal RNA, 1369 nt
Filed under: uncultured bacterium
Lineage: Bacteria
Description: bacterial SSU rRNA
Rfam family: Bacterial small subunit ribosomal RNA
Source: RNAcentral